Pseudomyrmex gracilis is the source of this 330-nucleotide long non-coding RNA. RefSeq lists it as uncharacterized. The transcript is spliced from 3 exons. The record is from RefSeq and is a predicted model, not a curated record. Lineage: Eukaryota; Metazoa; Arthropoda; Insecta; Hymenoptera; Formicidae.
ACGCGUUUGUAGCGCGAGUUGAACCAAGUUGAACUCUGUCCUCGAUUGUCGCGAAGCUGAUCAAUUUUUGCACCGGAAAGGUGUUCGAUCAAGACACGCGCGACGCUGGAACAUGACGCAGUCGAUAAGAUAAAAAAAACUCUAGAAAAAGUUAUAUUAUUUGACUUUUUCCAAAAUAAUGGACAACCAAGAGGCACAGAGUAUUAACUCUGACGUAUUUAUGUAUAUAAUUUAUAACCAUUUAAUUUUAAACAUGUAUCUAUCUUGCGUUUAAUUUGUUUUAACAACUGUUAUUGCGACUGAAGAAGGCUCCAUUGGAGACCGAAACGU